Molecule: ribosomal RNA, 374 nt
Filed under: uncultured eukaryote
Lineage: Eukaryota
Description: partial 18S ribosomal RNA
Rfam family: Eukaryotic small subunit ribosomal RNA
Source: RNAcentral
CAAUAGCGUAUAUUUAAGUUGUUGCAGUUAAAAAGCUCGUAGUUGGAUUUCUGCUGAUCGCUGUCGGUCUGCCGUCAGGUGUGUACUGGCAGUGUUUGGCAUCUAUUCGAGAUUGGGUGUCCACUUGAUUGUGUGCACUCGAUGUCGGAGCUAAUACUUUGAGAAAAUUAGAGUGUUCCACGCAGGCGCGUGCCUUGAAUACUGCAGCAUGGGAUAUUGGAAGGCCGAUUGAGCUUUCUUGUUGGUUCUCGGUUUGAUCGGAAUGAUUAAUAGGGAUAGUUGGGGGCAUUCGUAUUCAACUGUCAGAGGUGAAAUUCUUGGAUUUGUUGAAGACGGACUACUGCGAGAGCAUCUGCCAUGGAUGUUCUCAUUGA